GGUGAAAAGCACCCCGGAAGGGGAGUGAAAUAGAACCUGAAACCGUGUGCUUACAAGUAGUCAGAGCCCGUUAAUGGGUGAUGGCGUGCCUUUUGUAGAAUGAACCGGCGAGUUACGAUUUGAUGCAAGGUUAAGCAGUAAAUGUGGAGCCGUAGCGAAAGCGAGUCUGAAUAGGGCGUUUAGUAUUUGGUCGUAGACCCGAAACCAGGUGAUCUACCCUUGGUCAGGUUGAAGUUCAGGUAACACUGAAUGGAGGACCGAACCGACUUACGUUGAAAAGUGAGCGGAUGAACUGAGGGUAGCGGAGAAAUUCCAAUCGAACCUGGAGAUAGCUGGUUCUCUCCGAAAUAGCUUUAGGGCUAGCCUCAAGUGAUGAUUAUUGGAGGUAGAGCACUGUUUGGACGAGGGGCCCCUCUCGGGUUACCGAAUUCAGACAAACUCCGAAUGCCAAUUAAUUUAACUUGGGAGUCAGAACAUGGGUGAUAAGGUCCGUGUUCGAAAGGGAAACAGCCCAGACCACCAGCUAAGGUCCCAAAAUAUAUGUUAAGUGGAAAAGGAUGUGGCGUUGCCCAGACAACUAGGAUGUUGGCUUAGAAGCAGCCAUCAUUUAAAGAGUGCGUAAUAGCUCACUAGUCGAGUGACACUGCGCCGAAAAUGUACCGGGGCUAAACAUAUUACCGAAGCUGUGGAUUGUCCUUUGGACAAUGGUAGGAGAGCGUUCUAAGGGCGUUGAAGCAUGAUCGUAAGGACAUGUGGAGCGCUUAGAAGUGAGAAUGCCGGUGUGAGUAGCGAAAGACGGGUGAGAAUCCCGUCCACCGAUUGACUAAGGUUUCCAGAGGAAGGCUCGUCCGCUCUGGGUUAGUCGGGUCCUAAGCUGAGGCCGACAGGCGUAGGCGAUGGAUAACAGGUUGAUAUUCCUGUACCACCUAU
RNAcentral lists this ribosomal RNA (930 nucleotides) under Staphylococcus aureus. RNAcentral's name for it is "partial 23S ribosomal RNA". It matches the Rfam family "Bacterial large subunit ribosomal RNA", at positions 513 to 1451 of the family's 2925-position model. The record is from RNAcentral. Lineage: Bacteria; Bacillati; Bacillota; Bacilli; Caryophanales; Staphylococcaceae.